GGGAUGUAGCUUAAUGGUAGAACUCCUACUCAGCAUGUAAACGGCCCUGGGUUCAAUCCCCAGCACUCA
This 69-nucleotide transfer RNA is filed under the name Marmota monax (woodchuck). RNAcentral describes it as "tRNA.Ala". The record is from RNAcentral. Lineage: Eukaryota; Metazoa; Chordata; Mammalia; Rodentia; Sciuridae.